Molecule: ribosomal RNA, 207 nt
Filed under: uncultured bacterium
Lineage: Bacteria
Description: partial 16S ribosomal RNA
Rfam family: Bacterial small subunit ribosomal RNA
Source: RNAcentral
CGUGUAGGCGGUUUGUUUAGUCUGAUGUGAAAGCCCUGGGCUCAACCCAGGAAGUGCAUUGGAUACUGGCAGACUUGAAUACGGGAGAGGGUAGUGGAAUUCCUAGUGUAGGAGUGAAAUCCGUAGAUAUUAGGAGGAACACCGGUGGCGAAGGCGGCUACCUGGACCGAUAUUGACGCUGAGACGCGAAAGCGUGGGUAGCAAACA